Molecule: ribosomal RNA, 515 nt
Filed under: uncultured bacterium
Lineage: Bacteria
Description: partial 16S ribosomal RNA
Rfam family: Bacterial small subunit ribosomal RNA
Source: RNAcentral
GACGAACGCUGGCGGCGUGCCUAAUACAUGCAAGUCGAGCGGACUUUCAAGAAGCUUGCUUUUUGAAAGUUAGCGGCGGACGGGUGAGUAACACGUGGGCAACCUGCCUGUAAGACGGGGAUAACUCCGGGAAACCGGGGCUAAUAACGGAUAAUAUCUUUCUUCGCAUGAAGGAAGGUUGAAAGGCGGCGCAAGCUGCCGCUUGCAGAUGGGCCCGCGGCGCAUUAGCUAGUUGGUGAGGUAACGGCUCACCAAGGCGACGAUGCGUAGCCGACCUGAGAGGGUGAGCGGCCACACUGGGACUGAGACACGGCCCAGACUCCUACGGGAGGCAGCAGUAGGGAAUCUUCCGCAAUGGACGAAAGUCUGACGGAGCAACGCCGCGUGAGCGAAGAAGGUCUUCGGAUCGUAAAGCUCUGUUGUCAGGGAAGAACAAGUACCGUUCGAAUAGGGCGGUACCUUGACGGUACCUGACCAGAAAGCCACGGCUAACUACGUGCCAGCCGCCGCAGUAA